This 388-nucleotide ribosomal RNA is filed under the name uncultured bacterium. RNAcentral's name for it is "bacterial SSU rRNA". It matches the Rfam family "Bacterial small subunit ribosomal RNA", at positions 28 to 417 of the family's 1533-position model. The record is from RNAcentral.
GACGAACGCUGGCGGCGUGCUUAACACAUGCAAGUCGAGCGGUAAGGCCCUUUCGGGGGUACACGAGCGGCGAACGGGUGAGUAACACGUGGGUGACCUGCCCUCAGCUCUGGGAUAAGCCUGGGAAACCGGGUCUAAUACUGGAUAUGACUCCAUGACGCAUGUUGUGGGGUGGAAAGCCUUGUGCGGCUGAGGAUGGGCCCGCGGCCUAUCAGCUUGUUGGUGGGGGUGAGGCCUACCAAGGCGACGACGGGUAGCCGGCCUGAGAGGGCGACCGGCCACACUGGGACUGAGACACGGCCCAGACUCCUACGGGAGGCAGCAGUGGGGAAUCUUGCGCAAUGGGCGAAAGCCUGACGCAGCGACGCCGCGUGAGGGAUGACGGCCU